AUCCAGACGACGAGUCCCAAACAGGACAAAACGUACGUCAAAAUGGAU
Schistosoma mattheei is the source of this 48-nucleotide non-coding RNA. The record is from Rfam. Lineage: Eukaryota; Metazoa; Platyhelminthes; Trematoda; Strigeidida; Schistosomatidae.